GACGAACGCUGGCGGCGUGCUUAACACAUGCAAGUCGAACGGAAAGGCCCUGCUUUUGUGGGGUGCUCGAGUGGCGAACGGGUGAGUAACACGUGAGUAACCUGCCCUUGACUUUGGGAUAACUUCAGGAAACUGGGGCUAAUACCGGAUAGGAGCUCCUGCUGCAUGGUGGGGGUUGGAAAGUUUCGGCGGUUGGGGAUGGACUCGCGGCUUAUCAGCUUGUUGGUGGGGUAGUGGCUUACCAAGGCUUUGACGGGUAGCCGGCCUGAGAGGGUGACCGGCCACAUUGGGACUGAGAUACGGCACAGACUCCUACGGGAGGCAGCAGUGGGGAAUAUUGCACAAUGGGCGGAAGCCUGAUGCAGCAACGCCGCGUGCGGGAUGACGGCCUUCGGGUUGUAAACCGCAUUCGCCUGUGACGAAGCGUGAGUGACGGUAAUGGGUAAAGAAGCACCGGCUAACUACGUG
Molecule: ribosomal RNA, 468 nt
Filed under: uncultured bacterium
Lineage: Bacteria
Description: partial 16S ribosomal RNA
Rfam family: Bacterial small subunit ribosomal RNA
Source: RNAcentral